GACGAACGCUGGCGGCGUGCUUAACACAUGCAAGUCGAACGGACAGGCCCUGCGCUUGUGGGGUGCUCGAGUGGCGAACGGGUGAGUAACACGUGAGUAACCUGCCCCUGACUUAGGGAUAACAUCAGGAAACUGGGGCUAAUACCGGAUAGGAGCUCCUGCUGCAUGGUGGGGGUUGGAAAGUUUCGGCGGUUGGGGCUGGACUAGCGGCUUAUCAGCUUGUUGGUGGAGUAGUGGCUUACCAAGGGUUUGACGGGUAGCCGGCCUGAGAGGGUGACCGGCGACAUUGGGCCUGCGAUACGGCGCAGAAGGCUACGGGCGGCAGCAGUGGAGAGUAUUGCAGAAUGGGCGGAAGCCUGAUGCAGCAACGCCGCGUGCGGGAUGACGGCCUACUGGUUGUAAACCGCUUUCGACUGUGACGAAGCGUGAGUGACGGUAAUGAGUAAAGAAGCACCGGCUAACUACGUG
This 468-nucleotide ribosomal RNA is filed under the name uncultured bacterium. RNAcentral describes it as "partial 16S ribosomal RNA". It matches the Rfam family "Bacterial small subunit ribosomal RNA", at positions 28 to 507 of the family's 1533-position model. The record is from RNAcentral.